UGUGUUUGUUUUGUUUUAGAGGAUGAGCAGAAAAUGACCGAACAGUAAGUUUUGACAACUUACAACUUUAAUAAGCCAGUUGUCACAAACUACAAACAACUCUGAACUCUUUUCUAGAAAGACUAAACCACAUGUUGGGGUUGAAACUAGAAUAUGAUGCUUGCAUCACAAAAUAAAAUCACUGAAUAGUUAUUGUUGCCUGGAGUUCAACACAAACUGUAAAACAGAUUGAGUGCAAGAAAGUGCAAUGCUCAAAUAUACUUUUACAAAGCAAAGUGAGUAAAACAAUAUUUAUACAAAUAUCCCCAGCAUUUACAAGUCCAUAUAAGUACAACCCCCGGUUCUCAAUAAAAGCAGAGGUGGGUGCAAAUGAACAAUUUUCAUCUUCUAGAUCAAGGUUUUUACAGAGAACAUCUUGAAAAAUAUGAAGAACAAAAUACAGAUUUCCAUUUAUUAAUGACACUUUUGCAUUCAACUUCUUUGUAGGAACUCGAACCACAAACACGACCUACAUUUACUCAAACGCAAACCAAA
Xiphophorus couchianus (Monterrey platyfish) is the source of this 534-nucleotide long non-coding RNA. RefSeq lists it as uncharacterized. NCBI's taxonomy places the organism in Eukaryota, Metazoa, Chordata, Actinopteri, Cyprinodontiformes, Poeciliidae. The record is from RefSeq and is a predicted model, not a curated record. The transcript has 2 exons.